This 406-nucleotide ribosomal RNA is filed under the name uncultured bacterium. Its description in RNAcentral is "partial 16S ribosomal RNA". It matches the Rfam family "Bacterial small subunit ribosomal RNA", at positions 30 to 526 of the family's 1533-position model. The record is from RNAcentral.
AUUGAACGCUGGCGGCAGGCCUAACACAUGCAAGUCGAACGAGUGGCGGACGGGUGAGUAAUGUCUGGGAAACUGCCUGAUGGAGGGGGAUAAUUACUGGAAACGGUAGCUAAUACCGCAUACCAUCGGAUGUGCCCAGAUGGGAUUAGCUAGUAGGUGGGGGAACGGCUCACCUAUGCGACGAUCCCUAGCUGGUCUGAGAGGAUGACCAGCCACAAUGGGACUGAGGCACGGUCCAGACUCCUACGGGAGGCCGCAGGGGGGAAUAUUGCACAAAGGGGGCAAGCCUGAUGCAGCCAUGCCGCGGGUAUGAAGAAGGCCUUCGGGUUGUAAAGUACUUUCAGCGGGGAGGCGUUGACCGCAGAAGAAGCCACGGCUAACUACGUGCCAGCAGCCGCGGUAAUUC